AACGAACGCUGGCGGCAUGCCUAACACAUGCAAGUCGAACGAGAUCUUCGGGUCUAGUGGCGCACGGGUGCGUAACGCGUGGGAAUCUGCCCUUUGGUUCGGAAUAACAGUUGGAAACGACUGCUAAUACCGGAUGAUGACGAAAGUCCAAAGAUUUAUCGCCAGAGGAUGAGCCCGCGUAGGAUUAGCUAGUUGGUGGGGUAAAGGCGCACCAAGGCGACGAUCCUUAGCUGGUCUGAGAGGAUGAUAAGCCACACUGGGACUGAGACACGGCCCAGACUCCUACGGGAGGCAGCAGUGGGGAAUAUUGGACAAUGGGCGAAAGCCUGAUCCAGCAAUGCCGCGUGAGUGAUGAAGGCCUUAGGGUUGUAAAGAUCUUUUACCCGGGAUGAUAAUGACAGUACCGGGAGAAUAAGCUCCGGCUAACUCCGUGCCAGCCGCCGCCGUAA
This 449-nucleotide ribosomal RNA is filed under the name uncultured bacterium. RNAcentral describes it as "partial 16S ribosomal RNA". It matches the Rfam family "Bacterial small subunit ribosomal RNA", at positions 29 to 523 of the family's 1533-position model. The record is from RNAcentral.